RNAcentral lists this ribosomal RNA (738 nucleotides) under Marchalina hellenica. Its description in RNAcentral is "partial 28S ribosomal RNA". The stretch from base 357 to 738 matches the Rfam family "Eukaryotic large subunit ribosomal RNA", at positions 665 to 907 of the family's 3401-position model. The record is from RNAcentral. Lineage: Eukaryota; Metazoa; Arthropoda; Insecta; Hemiptera; Margarodidae.
GGACGGANCNGCGAUCCGCGUCGGCGAUUCAAAAUCGAUAGCGUCGGCGACGGCGUCGUUCGGUUUGAUUUUUCGUCGGCCGUCGCGCGCGAGCGAUCGCGCGCGCGUUAGGACGUCGCGACCCGUUCGGCGUCGGUCGAAGGGGCGGGGUGACAGUUUGCGUUUCCGUCGGGAGCGCGUCGGCUUCGCGGUCGGCGCGUUUUCCGGGAGGCGCGAGCCCCCGCUUCGCGACGAGGCCGACUGGCCGGACGGUAGGCUGUAGCGGUGGCCGAGGUCGGCCGUCUUUCGCGGCGGCGUACUCGGUGCCGGUCCGCGACGAUUCUUCGGGCCUCUUUCCGACCCGUCUUGAAACACGGACCAAGGAGUCUAACGUGCGCGCGAGUCACGGGGCGUCGUCGUCCGCGCCCGCAACGGCCGGACGACGUUACGAAAAACGAAACCCGAUCGUAGGCGAAAUGAAAGUGACGGCCGCGGCCUUCGCGCCGCGGCUGGGAAGAUGGCGUGUUCGAGUACACUUUCCCGAGCGCUUCGCAGCCGGGACCGAACGCCCGCACUCCCAGGGCGUCCCACCAGGCCCGGCGUGCGCCGCUCUUCCCGAGCGCGCGCUCGUCGAACCGGGGCGCACUUUUAGCGCGCACGUUGGUACCCGAAAGAUGGUGAACUAUGCCCGGCCAGGAUGAAGUCAGGGGAAACCCUGAUGGAGGUCCGCAGCGAUUCUGACGUGCAAAUCGAUCGUCU